This 71-nucleotide transfer RNA is filed under the name Trichonephila clavata. RNAcentral describes it as "tRNA-Arg". It matches the Rfam family "tRNA". Rfam says of the family: Transfer RNA (tRNA) molecules are approximately 80 nucleotides in length. The record is from RNAcentral. Lineage: Eukaryota; Metazoa; Arthropoda; Arachnida; Araneae; Nephilidae.
GUCCGUAACGCAGUGGAUAGCGCGUUGGACUUCUAAUCCAAAGGUCGUGGGUUUGAAUCCUACCUGGGAUG